This is a long non-coding RNA of Thrips palmi, 979 nucleotides long. RefSeq lists it as uncharacterized. The record is from RefSeq and is a predicted model, not a curated record. The transcript has 3 exons. Lineage: Eukaryota; Metazoa; Arthropoda; Insecta; Thysanoptera; Thripidae.
GCUGCCGUUGUUGCGCACCGCAAUGGUGCGGCAGGGCCAGGCUGGGCAGCCAGGGUAUGGAAAGAGACCGUGGUGGGGGUAGGCACUAAAAAGGGCGCGAAUAAGGUUUCCCCAUUCUUACACUACAACGGGAAGAAAAACACGAACCAGUUUUCCGACAUAAAAACCAAGGAAACUGUAUUAACACGUACCAAUAUGAUGUUAUUUCGAUGAUUCUGUUUGAAACUGAGUCUCUUAGCGACCGAGUUUUACCUAGAUAGCAGUUUGAAAUAUUCCAAAUGUUAUCCUCGAAAGUUGGUGAAAAUAGACCUUGUUGUCCCUUUCUGCUCUAUCUGGCCCGGCUGGUUCUGUGCAUAAAUUUGAUUUUUCCUGUAUUUUCCUCAUAAUUUGUAUCUGAGAGCAUGGCUAUUGUCGUAAAAUAUUCUGUUCGUGGAUUUGCGAGCACCAAUCAAACGCACAAGCUCAAGAACUCUCCGGAAAACCACCCGAGAAGGUAUUACAUAUGGCUUCGACAUGCUGCGACUCAGUGGGAAUCCCAAACUUCAGAAUAUUCUGCAGAUUGAAUUACUCAAGAUGGAAGUGUGUUGAGACCAUUUCACCCUUGCUAUGUUUUGGAAGAACACCAUGCCACGUCUGAUAAUUAAUGCAGUGUCUGAUAUCUUGGGAACGUGACACCCCCUCGAGCUGAUGGUGGCCGACAAAUUGGGGGUCCUUCACAAGCUGCUUCAGGGUCUUCCUGCAUUGAAGUGCCAUAUUCCAGUGUACCUGGUGUUGCUGCAGAAGAGCCUGUUGAGACAGGUUCAGUUCGAGCAGAAAAUUUGAUUGCAAAUUAUGCUGGCCAAGAAGACAGAGUCAGCACGGAGCAAGACUUUGCCCAAAAUAGUACAGAAGAUUUCACAGCCAAGAGUUUCGAACUGGUCAGCCCUGAAGGACGCUGGUGUUAUGUGCAAUUUUGUGAAAUAUAUUUAAUUUACAUGAA